This is a long non-coding RNA of Sinocyclocheilus rhinocerous, 313 nucleotides long. RefSeq lists it as uncharacterized. The transcript is spliced from 3 exons. The record is from RefSeq and is a predicted model, not a curated record. NCBI's taxonomy places the organism in Eukaryota, Metazoa, Chordata, Actinopteri, Cypriniformes, Cyprinidae.
GGAAAACGCAGUUCCAUGACACAAGCGCUUUCACAUUAAAUGUAUUGUGUAACUUGUACACUUCAGACUCCGCUUGAAGAAUAUAAGAUUUCAAGGCUACGUGCGUUUUAUCUUGCUGUCACAGAUGUCUCUUGCCCUGGCUGACAGGGCUAUCGGAGCAAUCAUUGGAUCAGCUGUUGCCGAUGCUGCAGCACAACCGCUCCAUUGGGUCUAUGACCUGCAGAAGCUGAGCGUGUUGCUCUCUCAAAGUCCUGAGCCUGAAUUCCGCCCUGAGUCUGCAAACCCAUUCUACAGGAGGAACACUGGACAGCAG